RNAcentral lists this ribosomal RNA (496 nucleotides) under uncultured bacterium. RNAcentral describes it as "partial 16S ribosomal RNA". The stretch from base 51 to 496 matches the Rfam family "Bacterial small subunit ribosomal RNA", at positions 39 to 506 of the family's 1533-position model. The record is from RNAcentral.
GGGGGGGGGGGGGGGGGGGGGGGGGGGGGGCGGGGGGGGCGGAGGGAGGAGGAGCGUGCUCCUCUGACGUUGGCGGCGGACGGGUGAGGAAGACGUGGAUAACCGACCUAUAUGACUGGGAUAACUUCGGGGAACCGGAGCUGAUACCGGAUAAUGUAUUGAACCGCAUGGGUCACUAGUGAAAGACGGUGUUGCUGUCCCUUAUCGAUGGUUCAGCGCCGCAUUAGCUAGUUGGUACGGUAACGGAUUUCCAAGGGAACGAUGCGUAGCCGACCUGAGAGGGUGAUCGGCCACACUGGAACUGAGACACGGUCCAGACUCCUACGGGAGGCAGCAGUAGGGAAUCUUCCGCAAUGGGCGAAAGCUUGACGGAGCAACGCAGCGUGAGUGAUGAAGGUCUUCGGAUCGUAAAACUCUGUUAUUAGGGAAGAACAAAUGUGUAAGUAACUAUGCACGUCUUGACGGUACCUAAGCAGAAAGCAACGGCUAACUACGU